AGAGUUUGAUCCUGGCUCAGGGCGAACGCUGGCGGCGUGCCUAACACAUGCAAGUCGUGCGACGGCCCUCGAGAAGUCCCUUCGGGGAUGGAUUGAGGGCACGGAGCGGCAAACGGGUGAGUAACACGUAGCUAACCUGCCCCCGCGACGGGGAUAACCCUCCGAAAGGGGGGCUAAUACCCGAUGGUCUCCCGGGGUCACAAGAUCCCGGGAGUAAAGGCGCUGGGCGACCGGCGCCGCGCGGGGAGGGGGCUGCGGCCCAUCAGGUAGUUGGUGGGGUAAUGGCCCACCAAGCCUAUGACGGGUAGGGGGCCUGAGAGGGUGGCCCCCCACACGGGGACUGAGACACGGCCCCGACUCCUACGGGAGGCAGCAGUGGGGAAUCUUGGGCAAUGCCCGCAAGGGUGACCCAGCGACGCCGCGUGCGGGAAGAAGCCCUUCGGGGUGUAAACCGCUUUUCUGGGGGAAGAAUAAGGCGGGGAGGAAAUGCCCCGCCGAUGACGGUACCCCAGGAAUAAGGGCCGGCUAACUACGUGCCAGCAGCCGCGGUAAGACGUAGGGCCCGAGCGUUGCCCGGAUUUACUGGGCGUAAAGUGCGCGUAGGCGGUUCGGCAAGUCGCCCGUGAAAGCCCGGGGCUCAACCCCGGGAGGCCGGGCGAUACUGCCGGGCUAGAGGACGGCAGAGGAGGGUGGAGCGGCCGGAGUAGCGGUGAAAUGCGUAGAUACCGGGAGGAACACCAGUGGCGAAGGCGGCCGACUGGAACUGACCUGACGCUGAGGGACGAAAGCCAGGGGAGCAAACCGGAUUAGAUACCCGGGUAGUCCUGGCCGUAAACGAUGGAUGCUAGAUGUGGGCGGGGAGACCCGUCCGUGUCGCAAGCUAACGCGUUAAGCAUCCCGCCUGGGGAGUACGGCCGCAAGGUUGAAACUCAAAGGAAUUGACGGGGACCCGCACAACCGGUGGAGCGUCUGGUUUAAUUCGAUGCUAACCGAAAAACCUCACCAGGGCUUGACAUGCGGUGUGUCGUGGCCGAAAGGUCGCUAGGGUACCCUUUUGGGUACCCGCGCCGCACAGGUGGUGCAUGGUCGUCGUCAGCUCGUGUCGUGAGAUGUUGGGUUAAGUCCCGCAACGAGCGCAACCCUUGCCCUGUGUUACCAGCGGGUAAAGCCGGGUACUCACAGGGGACUGCCGGCGAUAAGCCGGAGGAAGGAGGGGAUGACGUCAGAUCAGUAUGCCCUUUAUGCCCUGGGCUACACAGGCGCUACAAUGGCAGGGACAAAGGGAAGCGAAGCCGCAAGGUGGAGCAAACCCCAAAAACCCUGUCGUAGUGCGGAUUGGGGGUUGCAACUCACCCCCAUGAAGGCGGAAUCGGUAGUAAUGGCGGAUCAGCAAUGCCGCCGUGAAUACGUUCCCGGGUCUUGUACACACCGCCCGUCACGCCACGGGAGUUGGGUUCAUCGGAAGUCCCCGGGCCAACCCGCGAGGGAGGCAGGGGCCGA
Molecule: ribosomal RNA, 1500 nt
Filed under: uncultured bacterium
Lineage: Bacteria
Description: 16S ribosomal RNA
Rfam family: Bacterial small subunit ribosomal RNA
Source: RNAcentral